RNAcentral lists this ribosomal RNA (610 nucleotides) under Bacillus sp. 192(2013). RNAcentral describes it as "bacterial SSU rRNA". It matches the Rfam family "Bacterial small subunit ribosomal RNA", at positions 75 to 668 of the family's 1533-position model. Lineage: Bacteria; Bacillati; Bacillota; Bacilli; Caryophanales; Bacillaceae. The record is from RNAcentral.
AGAGCUUGCUCUUAUGAAGUUAGCGGCGGACGGGUGAGUAACACGUGGGUAACCUGCCCAUAAGACUGGGAUAACUCCGGGAAACCGGGGCUAAUACCGGAUAACAUUUUGAACCGCAUGGUUCGAAAUUGAAAGGCGGCUUCGGCUGUCACUUAUGGAUGGACCCGCGUCGCAUUAGCUAGUUGGUGAGGUAACGGCUCACCAAGGCAACGAUGCGUAGCCGACCUGAGAGGGUGAUCGGCCACACUGGGACUGAGACACGGCCCAGACUCCUACGGGAGGCAGCAGUAGGGAAUCUUCCGCAAUGGACGAAAGUCUGACGGAGCAACGCCGCGUGAGUGAUGAAGGCUUUCGGGUCGUAAAACUCUGUUGUUAGGGAAGAACAAGUGCUAGUUGAAUAAGCUGGCACCUUGACGGUACCUAACCAGAAAGCCACGGCUAACUACGUGCCAGCAGCCGCGGUAAUACGUAGGUGGCAAGCGUUAUCCGGAAUUAUUGGGCGUAAAGCGCGCGCAGGUGGUUUCUUAAGUCUGAUGUGAAAGCCCACGGCUCAACCGUGGAGGGUCAUUGGAAACUGGGAGACUUGAGUGCAGAAGAGGAAAGUGGAAUU